GUAACAAGGUCUCCGUUGGUGAACCAGCGGAGGGAUCAUUACCGAGUUUACAACUCCCAAACCCCAAUGUGAACGUUACCAAUCUGUUGCCUCGGCGGGAUUCUCUUGCCCCGGGCGCGUCGCAGCCCCGGAUCCCAUGGCGCCCGCCGGAGGACCAACUCCAAACUCUUUUCUCUCUCCGUCGCGGCUCCCGUCGCGGCUCUGUUUUAUUUUUGCUCUGAGCCUUUCUCGGCGACCCUAGCGGGCGUCUCGAAAAUGAAUCAAAACUUUCAACAACGGAUCUCUUGGUUCUGGCAUCGAUGAAGAACGCAGCGAAAUGCGAUAAGUAAUGUGAAUUGCAGAAUUCAGUGAAUCAUCGAAUCUUUGAACGCACAUUGCGCCCGCCAGUAUUCUGGCGGGCAUGCCUGUCCGAGCGUCAUUUCAACCCUCGAACCCCUCCGGGGGGUCGGCGUUGGGGAUCGGCCCCUCACCGGGCCGCCCCCGAAAUACAGUGGCGGUCUCGCCGCAGCCUCUCAUGCGCAGUAGUUUGCACACUCGCACCGGGAGCGCGGCGCGGCCACAGCCGUAAAACACCCCAAAUUUUCUGAAAUGUUGACCUCGGAUCAGGUAGGAAUACCCGCUGAACUUAAGCAUAUCA
RNAcentral lists this unclassified non-coding RNA (637 nucleotides) under Trichoderma orientale. Its description in RNAcentral is "sequence contains 18S rRNA gene, ITS1, 5.8S rRNA gene, ITS2, 28S rRNA gene". The stretch from base 265 to 418 matches the Rfam family "5.8S ribosomal RNA". The record is from RNAcentral. Lineage: Eukaryota; Fungi; Ascomycota; Sordariomycetes; Hypocreales; Hypocreaceae.